UCGCCUUGGCUAGUAUCAUUUUCCCUUGAAGUCUUGAGACUCUGCACAAGCUCAAGCCGUGAACUCAGAAUCCCGUGCCUCGAAAAUAUCUCUGCAAUCACUUAAUUUUUGCAAGCACAAUGUAUAAUUUUUUUUUAUUUUUAUUUUUUGAUAAUCGUGGUGUCCGGGCCAGCUUGCGCGCACCUCGACUAAUUCCACGGGAUACCUGCCACCUCCCACCAGCAACAACUACCAGGUAACUCUAUCCACCAAGGCUUGAAUAAAUGGGAAAAAAUCACCUAAUAUUUGCCUCCGCUGGGAUUUGAACCUGAGACCUCAUGAUUCUCACCCACUUUAUUGACCACUAGGUCACACCCUUGGGUGCCACAAUGCAUAAUUACUUUACCAAAAAUUUCAGCUAAGGGAAAAAAAAAUGCUCCAUUCUAGUCUGAUAUAUGCCCAUUGAAAAUCUAAGGGUCGUUAAAGUCAUGUAUAUGCCCAUCUAAAAUCCACAUAUCUAAUAGAUACCAAAUUGAAUAGCUAUCACCACAUAUAUCUAUCACUGAAAACUAAAUGCCCUUUCUGUCAAUUUCCUCUCAUAAUGACCACAGUAAAGCUCCUUCAUGAACAAGUUGUCAACAAUAAGGUUAAAAAAAUAAUUAAAUGCCAAUAAAAUAAGCUUAUUAUUAAGCUAAGAAAUUUAAAAGUAGCACAUAAUUUUUUUUUUCACAAGUAACCAAGAAUAAAACCAUGAUGAUCCAUAUAUGUGGAACUUCAACUUUAAGAAGUAUUAAGUAUGCUAACCUCUGUUGCGACCUUUUUUGUCUUACAUAACCUUAUUUUGUUUAACUGGAGCCAAGAGCAUUAAGCAAAAGGUAUUAUUGUCAGAUACCUGUGAAAGAGGAGGAAUUGUUUCCUUUA
Molecule: long non-coding RNA, 900 nt
Filed under: Nicotiana tabacum (common tobacco)
Lineage: Eukaryota; Viridiplantae; Streptophyta; Magnoliopsida; Solanales; Solanaceae
Description: long non-coding RNA (NTAB_LNC005416)
Source: RNAcentral